CCAGAGAGGGCACAUGUGCCUCAAUUGGCCUAUAGCAUAGCGACUCAUUAUCCUUCCACCGCUGGUGGCGGGCGGUACUCGCUGCUCUGUGAAGCCAACCUCACGCAAUGUCCGCCACUUUAGGUGUUGGGAUGCAAAGGCUUUCGCCAAGGCAUCCGAAACCCACUACACAACUUGGAAUGGGUGGUCCACAGUUUGUAGCACUAGACCCAGGCACAUGCACCACAAUUAACAUUCACACUACCUUAUUGCCCCCGCUCGGGUUACAAGCAAUCGCUACUUGCUCAGCGAGUGAGGGGGUUCAAGACUACCUAUUUAAGGUGGUGUUGUACUGUAUGAGCCGGCGGUGUGGUAUUUACCAACUACAAAUAGUGUCAUGCAUGUGACUUGCUAGUUGACAAUGUCUGUUGUCGAGCUAGAUGUGGGCUAUGGAUGAAGCACAUUAGGAUAUAGUAGGCCUAUUUUGUUUUUUGUUGUUUUUGGGACACUAUGGACUUUAUGUUGAUGUUGUGAAAUUUUUUCUUGUGUUUCCUUUUCCUACGAUGUGGAAAGUGGGUGCGUCAGAGAAGAAAGAAAGAGUGGCUAGCAUUGAUUUUACGUCAUACCGUUGAGAACACUAAUCAGAAGCAGAAGCAACAAUAUUUCAUACAUAUACAACACUUGUAAUCCAUAUAAACAACUUUCCUUUAAAAUAUAAGAUAAACCACAUGAUUUAUAUCCUGGGUCGGCUAUCUCCACAAAGGGCAAGAAAACGCUCCAAGUUUGUAGUAUAGAACUAAAAGUGUCGAUUCUCACGAUUUCUUCCCGACAUAUACAAACUAGACAGUAAUCACAUAAAAUAAAGAAAUAUGUGUUAACAAGAACUUAUACCAUGUAUUUCAACAUAUAGAUUGUUGAUUAUUAUGGUAGAUUAUAUAAAAUAGGGGUUCCCGAAGCAAUACAUAAAAACAAGAGCAUUAAAAUUUCCUUUUCAGAUUUGGCUAUCUGGUAAAAGGAGUUGGAGUAACUGAGUUUCCAAAUUUGUGCCGUAGCUCUAUAGAAGGAAUAUAAAUACGUUGGAAAAAUUCUAUAAGGAAAGGUUUAAUACAAGUAGGGCUAAGAAAAACUCAAUGAGGCUUUGGUCGCAUGGUCACAAAACUUGAGACAAGAAACACGAAGACACCAAGGUAAUUAGUAUGAGAGUUUUCCAAAUUUGGUGUCUUGAUGUAGAAAAAUAAAUAUAUGAAAAACUUGUUUUUUCGCAAGGCAUGGAUAAAUAAGUGGGGGUGAGCAAUAAAUUUCAUCCUUGAUUUAGAAGGAAUAAAUAUAUCACUAAAUACGUUUUUUCACAAUGCCAAGUUAAUCAGGUGGGACCGAGAAACAAUUCUAGCGAGGCUAGGUUGUACUAGCCCAAAACUACAUACUACAGAGGAAAAAUGAAGAAAAUGAUGGUCUACCAAAUAUGGCGCAUGAGCCUUAAGGUGCACCUAGAGGGAAGUAGAAGAAAUAAAUAUAUAAUAGCAUAUGUUUUUCGCAAUGCAAGGUAAAGUGUAGAUGUGCUCUAACUAGGCUUAGAUUGCAGCGACACAUUAUGCAUCUACAAGGCUUGGUUGCACAUGGAAAAAGAUAGAGAGAGAAAUGUAGACGCAGGACCGAGAGAAAAACAUUCAAUGAGACGUGAUUGCACGGACAUAGAACUAGAUAUAAGACAAGAGUUAAAGAAAAAUAAAGGAACUAAAUUUUCUUCUGCACACUAAGCAUGAAUGGAGUUGUAGUAUCUGAGAUCAAAAUUUAAUUUAUUCCAAGAUGCAGAACAAAAACGUGAUACUCGUAAUGGUUACAUAGGAACAAAAGUAGAUAAGAAAAAUAGCAAAAAGAUAGUGGUCUACCAGAGAGGGCACAUGUGCCUCAAUUGGCCUAUAGCAUAGCGACUCAUUAUCCUUCCACCGCUGGUGGCGGGCGGUACUCGCUGCUCUGUGAAGCCAGCCUCACGCAAUGUCCGCCACUUUAGGUGUUGGGAUGCAAAGGCUUUCGCCAAGGCAUCCGAAACCCACUACACAACUUGGAAUGGGUGUUCCACAAUUUGUAGCACUAGACCCAGGCACAUGCACCACAAUUGACAUCCACACUACCUUAUUGCCUCCGCUCGGGUUACAAGCAAUCGCUACUUGCUCAGCGAGUGAGGGGGUUCAAGACUACCUAUUUGAGGUGGUGUUGUACUCUAUGAGCCGGCGGUGUGGUAUUUACCAACUACAAAUAGUGUCAUGCAUGUGACUUGCUAGUUGACAAUGUCUGUUGUCGAGCUAGAUGUGGGCUAUGGAUGAAGCACAUUAGGAUAUAGUAGGCCUAUUUUGUUUUUUGUUGUUUUUGGGCCACUAUGGACUUUAUGUUGAUGUUGUGAAAUUUUUUCUUGUGUUUCCUCUUCAUACGAUGUGGAAAGUGGGUGCCGUCAGAGAAGAAAGAAAGAGCGGCUAGCAUUGAUUUUACGUCAUACCAUUGAGAACACUAAUUAGAAGCAGAAGCAACAAUAUUUCAUACAUAUACAACACUUGUAAUCCAUAUAAACAACAUUCCUUUAAAAUAUAAUAUAAACCACAUGAUUUAUAUCCUGGGUCAGCUAUCUCCACAAAGGGCAAGAAAACGCUCCAAGUUUGUAGUAUAGAACUAAAAGUGUCGAUUCUCACGAUUUCUUCCCGACAUAUACAAACUAGACAGUAAUCACAUAAAAUAAAGAAAUAUGUGUUAACACGAACUUAUAACAUGUAUUUCAACAUAUAGAUUGUUGAUUAUUAUGGUAGAUUAUAUAAAAUAGGGGUUCCCGAAGAAAUACAUAAAAACAAGAGCAUUAAAAUUUCCUUUUCAGAUCUGGCUAUCUGGUAAAAGGAGUUGGAGUAACUGAGUUUCCAAAUUUGUGACGUAGCUCUAUAGAAGGAAUAUAAAUACGUUGGAAAAAUUCUACAAGGAAAGGUUUAAUACAAGUAGGGCUAAGAAAAACUCAAUGAGGCUUUGGUCGCAUGGUCACAAAACUUGAGACAAGAAACACGAAGACACCAAGGUAAUUAGUAUGAGAGUUUUCCAAAUUUGGUGUCUUGAUGUAGAAAAAAUAAAUAUAUGACAAACUUGUUUUUUCGCAAGGCAUGGAUAAAUAAGUGGGGGCGAGCAAUAAAUUUCAUCCUAGAUUUAGAAGGAAUAAAUAUAUCACUAAAUACGUUUUUUCAUAAUGCCAAGUUAAUCAGGUGGGAGCGAGAAACAAUUCUAGCGAGGUUAGGUUGUACUAGCCCAAAACUACAUACAACAGAGGAAAAAUGAAGAAAAUGAUGGUCUACCAAAUAUGGCGCAUGAGCCUUAAGGUGCACGUAGAGGGAAGUAUAAGAAAUAAAUAUAUAAUAGCAUAUGUUUUUCGCAAUGCAAGGUAAAGUGUAGAUGUGCUCUAACUGGGCUUAGAUUGCAGCGACACAUUAUGCAUCUACAAGGCUUGGUUGCACAUGGAAAAAGAUAGAGAGAGAAAUGUAGACACAGGACCGGGAGAAAAACAUUCAAUGAGACAUGAUUGCACGGACAUAGAACUAGAUAUAAGACAAGAGUUAAAGAAAAAUAAAGGAACUAAAUUUUCUUCUACACACUCAGCAUGAAUGGAGUUGUAGUAUCUGAGAUCAAAAUUUAAUUUAUUCCAAGAUGCAGAACAAAAACGUGAUACUCGUAAUGGUUACAUAGGAACAAAAGUAGAUAAGAAAAAUAGCAAAAAGAUAGUGGUCUACCAGAGAGGGCACAUGUGCCUCAAUUGGCCUAUAGCAUAGCGACUCAUUAUCCUUCCACCGCUGGUGGCGGGCGGUACUCGCUGCUCUGUGAAGCCAGCCUCACGCAAUGUCCGCCACUUUAGGUGUUGGGAUGCAAAGGCUUUCGCCAAGGCAUCCGAAACCCACUACACAACUUGGAAUGGGUGUUCCACAGUUUGUAGCACUAGACCAUGGCACAUGCACCACAAUUGACAUCCACACUACCUUAUUGCCCCCGCUCGGGUUACAAGCAAUCACUACUUGCUCAUCAAGUGAGGGGGUUCAAGACUACCUAUUUAAGGUGGUGUUGUACUCUAUGAGCCGACGGUGUGGUAUUUACCAACUACAAAUAGUGUCAUGCAUGUGACUUGCUAGUUGACAAUGUCUGUUGUCGAGCUAGAUGUGGGCUAUGGAUGAAGCACAUUAGGAUAUAGUAGGCCUAUUUUGUUUUUUGUUGUUUUUGGGCCACUAUGGACUUUAUGUUGACGUUGUGAAAUUUUUUCUUGUGUUUCCUCUUCCUACGAUGUGGAAAGUGGGUGCCGUCAGAGAAGAAAGAAAGAGUGGCUAGCAUUGAUUUUACGUCAUACCAUUGAGAACACUAAUCAGAAGCAGAAGCAACAAUAUUUCAUACAUAUACAACACUUGUAAUCCAUAUAAACAACUUUCCUUUAAAAUAUAAUAUAAACCACAUGAUUUAUAUCCUGGGUCGGCUAUCUCCACAAAGGGCAAGAAAACGCUCCAAGUUUGUAGUAUAGAACUAAAAGUGUCGAUUCUCACGAUUUCUUCCCGACAUAUACAAACUAGACAGUAAUCACAUAAAAUAAAGAAAUAUGUGUUAACACGAACAUAUAGCAUGUAUUUCAACAUAUAGAUUGUUGAUUAUUAUGGUAGAUUAUAUAAAAUAGGGGUUCCCGAAGAAAUACAUAAAAACAAGAGCAUUGAAAUUUCCUUUUCAGAUCUGGCUAUCUGGUAAAAGGAGUUGGAGUAACUGAGUUUCCAAAUUUGUGACGUAGCUCUAUAGAAGGAAUAUAAAUACGUUGGAAAAAUUCUACAAGGAAAGGUUUAAUACAAGUAGGGCUAAGAAAAACUCAAUGAGGCUUUGGUCGCAUGGUCACAAAACUUGAGACAAGAAACACGAAGACACCAAGGUAAUUAGUAUGAGAGUUUUCCAAAUUUGGUGUCUUGAUGUAGAAAAAAUAAAUAUAUGACAAACUUGUUUUUUCGCAAGGCAUGGAUAAAUAAGUGGGGGCGAGCAAUAAAUUUCAUCCUAGAUUUAGAAGGAAUAAAUAUAUCACUAAAUACGUUUUUUCAUAAUGCCAAGUUAAUCAGGUGGGAGCGAGAAACAAUUCUAGCGAGGCUAGGUUGUACUAGCCCAAAACUACAUACAACAGAGGAAAAAUGAAGAAAAUGAUGGUCUACCAAAUAUGGCGCAUGAGCCUUAAGGUGCACCUAGAGGGAAGUAGAAGAAAUAAAUAUAUAAUAGCAUAUGUUUUUCGCAAUGCAAGGUAAAGUGUAGAUGUGCUCUAACUGGGCUUAGAUUGCAGCGACACAUUAUGCAUCUACAAGGCUUGGUUGCACAUGGAAAAAGAUAGAGAGAGAAAUGUAGACACAGGACCGGGAGAAAAACAUUCAAUGAGACAUGAUUGCACGGACAUAGAACUAGAUAUAAGACAAGAGUUAAAGAAAAAUAAAGGAACUAAAUUUUCUUCUGCACACUCAGCAUGAAUGGAGUUGUAGUAUCUGAGAUCAAAAUUUAAUUUAUUCCAAGAUGCAGAACAAAAACGUGAUACUCGUAAUGGUUACAUAGGAACAAAAGUAGAUAAGAAAAAUAGCAAAAAGAUAGUGGUCUACCAGAGAGGGCACAUGUGCCUCAAUUGGCCUAUAGCAUAGCGACUCAUUAUCCUUCCACCGCUGGUGGCGGGCGGUACUCGCUGCUCUGUGAAGCCAGCCUCACGCAAUGUCCGCCACUUUAGGUGUUGGGAUGCAAAGGCUUUCGCCAAGGCAUCCGAAACCCACUACACAACUUGGAAUGGGUGGUCCAAAGUUUGUAGCACUAGACCCAGGCACAUGCACCACAAUUGACAUCCACACUACCUUAUUGCCCCCGCUCGGGUUACAAGCAAUCGCUACUUGCUCAGCGAGUGAGGGGGUUCAACACUACCUAUUUAAGGUGGUGUUGUACUCUAUAAGCCGGCGGUGUGGUAUUUACCAACUACAAAUAGUGUCAUGCAUGUGACUUGCUAGUUGACAAUGUCUGUUGUCGAGCUAGAUGUGGGCUAUGGAUGAAGCACAUUAUGAUAUAGUAGGCCUAUUUUGUUUUUUGUUGUUUUUGGGCCACUAUGGACUUUAUGUUGAUGUUGUGAAAUUUUUUCUUGUGUUUCCUCUUCCUACGAUGUGUAAAGUGGGUGUGUUAGAGAAGAAAGAAAGAGUGGCUAGCAUUGAUUUUACGUCAUACCAUUGAGAACACUAAUCAGAAGCAGAAGCAACAAUAUUUCAUACAUAUACAACACUUGUAAUCCAUAUAAACAACUUUCCUUUAAAAUAUAAUAUAAACCACAUGAUUUAUAUCCUGGGUCGGCUAUCUCCACAAAGGGCAAGAAAACGCUCCAAGUUUGUAGUAUAGAACUAAAAGUGUCGAUUCUCACGAUUUCUUCCCGACAUAUACAAACUAGACAGUAAUCACAUAAAAUAAAGAAAUAUGUGUUAACACGAACUUAUAGCAUGUAUUUCAACAUAUAGAUUGUUGAUUAUUAUGGUAGAUUAUAUAAAAUAGGGGUUCCCAAAGAAAUACAUAAAACAAGAGCAUUAAAAUUUCCUUUUCAGAUCUGGCUAUCUGGUAAAAGGAGUUGGAGUAACUGAGUUUCCAAAUUUGUGACGUAGCUCUAUAGAAGGAAUAUAAAUACGUUGGAAAAAUUCUACAAGGAAAGGUUUAAUACAAGUAGGGCUAAGAAAAACUCAAUGAGGCUUUGGUCGCAUGGUCACAAAACUUGAGACAAGAAACACGAAGACACAAAGGUAAUUAGUAUGAGAGUUUUCCAAAUUUGGUGUCUUGAUGUAGAAAAAAUAAAUAUAUGACAAACUUGUUUUUUCGCAAGGCAUGGAUAAAUAAGUGGGGGUGAGCAAUAAAUUUCAACCUAGAUUUAGAAGGAAUAAAUAUAUCACUAAAUACAUUUUUUACAAUGCCAAGUUAAUCAGGUAGGAGCGAGAAACAAUUCUAGCGAGGCUAGGUUGUACUAGCCCAAAACUACAUACAAAAGAGGAAAAAUGAAGAAAAUGAUGGUCUACCAAAUAUGGCACAUGAGCCUUAAGGUGCACCUAGAGGGAAGUAGAAGAAUAAAUAUAUAAUAGCAUAUGUUUUUCGCAAUGCAAGGUAAAGUGUAGAUGUGCUCUAACUGGGCUUAGAUUGCAGCGACACAUUAUGCAUCUACAAGGCUUGGUUGCACAUGGAAAAAGAUAGAGAGAGAAAUGUAGACGCAGGACCGGGAGAAAAACAUUCAAUGAGACGUGAUUGCACGGACAUAGAACUAGAUAUAAGACAAGAGUUAAAGAAAAAAGGAACUAAAUUUUCUUGUGCACACUAAGCAUGAAUGGAGUUGUAGUAUCUGAGAUCAAAAUUUAAUUUAUUCCAAGAUGCAGAACAAAAACGUGAUACUCGUAAUGGUUACAUAGGAACAAAAGUAGAUAAGAAAAAUAGCAAAAAGAUAUUGGUCUACCAGAGAGGGCACAUGUGCCUCAAUUGGCCUAUAGCAUAGUGGCUCAUUAUCCUUCAACCGCUGGUGGCGGGCGGUACUCGCUGCUCUGUGAAGCCAGCCUCACGCAAUGUCCGCCACUUUAGGUGUUGGGAUGCAAAGGCUUUCGCCAAGGCAUCCGAAACCCACUACACAACUUGGAAUGGGUGGUCCACAGUUUGUAGCACUAGACCCAGGCACAUGCACCACAAUUGACAUUCACACUACCUUAUUGCCCCCGCUCGGGUUACAAGCAAUCGCUACUUGCUCAGCGAGUGAGGGGGGUUCAAGACUACCUAUUUAAGGUGGUGUUGUACUGUAUGAGCCGGCGGUGUGGUAUUUACCAACUACAAAUAGUGUCAUGCAUGUGACUUGCUAGUUGACAAUGUCUGUUGUGGAGCUAGAUGUGGGCUAUGGAUGAAGCACAUUAGGAUAUAGUAGGCCUAUUUUGUUUUUUGUUAUUUUUGGGCCACUAUGGACUUUAUGUUGAUGUUGUGAAUUUUUUUCUUGUGUUUCCUCUUCCUACGAUGUGGAAAGUGGGUGCGUCAGAGAAGAAAGAAAGAGUGGCUAGCAUUGAUUUUACGUCAUACCAUUGAGAACACUAAUCAGAAGCAGAAGCAACAAUAUUUCAUACAUAUACAACACUUGUAAUCCAUAUAAACAACUUUCCUUUCAAAUAUAAUAUAAACCACAUGAUUUAUAUCCUGGGUCGGCUAUCUCCACAAAGGGCAAGAAAACGCUCCAAGUUUGUAGUAUAGAACUAAAAGUGUCGACUCUCACGAUUUCUUCCCGACAUAUGCAAACUAGACAGUAAUCACAUAAAAUAAAGAAAUAUGUGUUAACACAAACUUAUAACAUGUAUUUCAACAUAUAGAUUUUUGAUUAUUAUGGUAGAUUAUAUAAUAUAGGGGUUCCCGAAGAAAUACAUAAAAAACAAGAGCAUUAAAAUUUCCUUUUCAGAUCUGGCUAACUGGUAAAGGGAGUUGGAGUAUCUGUGUUUCCAAAUUUGGGACGUCGCUCUAUAGAAGGAAUAUAAAUACAUUGGAAAAAAAUUCUACAAGGAAAGGUUUAAUACAAGUAGGGCUAAGAAAAACUCAAUGAGGCUUUGGUCGCAUGGUCACAAAACUUGAGACAAGAAACACGAAGACACCAAGGUAAUUAGUAUGAGAGUUUUCCAAAUUUGGUGUCUUGAUGUAGAAAAAAUAAAUAUAUGACAAACUUGUUUUUUCGCAAGGCAUGGAUAAAUAAGUGGGGGUGAGCAAUAAAUUUCAUCCUAGAUUUAGAAGGAAUAAAUAUAUCACUAAAUACGUUUUUUCAUAAUGCCAAGUUAAUCAGGUGGGAGCGAGAAACAAUUCUAGCGAGGCUAGGUUGUACUAGCCCAAAACUACAUACAACAGAGGAAAAAUGAAGAAAAUGAUGGUCUACCAAAUAUGGCGCAUGAGCCUUAAGGUGCACCUAGAGGGAAGUAGAAGAAAUAAAUAUAUAAUAGCAUAUGUUUUUCUCAAUGCAAGGUAAAGUGUAGAUGUGCUCUAACUGGGCUUAGAUUGCAGCGACACAUUAUGCAUCUACAAGGCUUGGUUGCACAUGGAAAAAGAUAGAGAGAGAAAUGUAGACACAGGACGGGGAGAAAAACAUUCAAUGAGACAUGAUUGCACGGACAUAGAACUAGAUAUAAGACAAGAGUUAAAGAAAAAUAAAGGAACUAAAUUUUCUUCUGCACACUCAGCAUGAAUGGAGUUGUAGUAUCUGAGAUCAAAAUUUAAUUUAUUCCAAGAUGCAGAACAAAAACGUGAUACUCGUAAUGGUUACAUAGGAACAAAAGUAGAUAAGAAAAAUAGCAAAAAGAUAGUGGUCUACCAGAGAGGGCACAUGUGCCUCAAUUGGCCUAUAGCAUAGCGACUCAUUAUCCUUCCACCGCUGGUGGCGGGCGGUACUCGCUGCUCUGUGAAGCCAGCCUCACGCAAUGUCCGCCACUUUAGGUGUUGGGAUGCAAAGGCUUUCGCCAAGGCAUCCGAAACCCACUACACAACUUGGAAUGGGUGGUCCACAGUUUGUAGCACUAGACCCAGGCACAUGCACCACAAUUGACAUCCACACUACCUUAUUGCCCCCGCUCGGGUUACAAGCAAUCGCUACUUGCUCAGCGAGUGAGGGGGUUCAAGACUACCUAUUUAAGGUGGUGUUGUACUCUAUAAGCCGGCGGUGUGGUAUUUACCAACUACAAAUAGUGUCAUGCAUGUGACUUGCUAGUUGACAAUGUCUGUUGUCGAGCUAGAUGUGGGCUACGGAUGAAGCACAUUAUGAUAUAGUAGGCCUAUUUUGUUUUUUGUUGUUUUUGGGCCACUAUGGACUUUAUGUUGAUGUUGUGAAAUUUUUUCUUGUGUUUCCUCUUCCUACGAUGUGGAAAGUGGGUGUGUUAGAGAAGAAAGAAAGAGUGGCUAGCAUUGAUUUUACGUCAUACCAUUGAGAACACUAAUCAGAAGCAGAAGCAACAAUAUUUCAUACAUAUACAACACUUGUAAUCCAUAUAAACAACUUUCCUUUAAAAUAUAAUAUAAACCACAUGAUUUAUAUCCUGGGUCGGCUAUCUCCACAAAGGGCAAGAAAACGCUCCAAGUUUGUAGUAUAGAACUAAAAGUGUCGAUUCUCACGAUUUCUUCCCGACAUAUACAAACUAGACAGUAAUCACAUAAAAUAAAGAAAUAUGUGUUAACACAAACUUAUAGCAUGUAUUUCAACAUAUAGAUUGUUGAUUAUUAUGGUAGAUUAUAUAAAAUAGAGGUUCCCGAAGAAAUACAUAAAAACAAGAGCAUUAAAAUUUCCAUUUCAGAUCUGGCUAUCUGGUAAAAGGAGUUGGAGUAACUGAGUUUCCAAAUUUGUGACGUAGCUCUAUAGAAGGAAUAUAAAUACGUUGGAAAAAUUCUACAAGGAAAGGUUUAAUACAAGUAGGGCUAAGAAAAACUCAAUGAGGCUUUGGUCGCAUGGUCACAAAACUUGAGACAAGAAACACGAAGACACCAAGGUAAUUAGUAUGAGAGUUUUCCAAAUUUGGUGUCUUGAUGUAGAAAAAAUAAAUAUAUGACAAACUUGUUUUUUCGCAAGGCAUGGAUAAAUAAGUGGGGGCGAGCAAUAAAUUUCAUCCUAGAUUUAGAAGGAAUAAAUAUAUCACUAAAUACGUUUUUUCAUAAUGCCAAGUUCAUCAGGUGGGAGCGAGAAACAAUUCUAGCGAGGUUAGGUUGUACUAGCCCAAAACUACAUACAACAGAGGAAAAAUGAAGAAAAUGAUGGUCUACCAAAUAUGGCGCAUGGGCCUUAAGGUGCACCUAGAGGGAAGUAUAAGAAAUAAAUAUAUAAUAGCCUAUGUUUUUCGCAAUGCAAGGUAAAGUGUAGAUGUGCUCUAACUGGGCUUAGAUUGCAGCGACACAUUAUGCAUCUACAAGGCUUGGUUGCACAUGGAAAAAGAUAGAGAGAGAAAUGUAGACACAGGACGGGGAGAAAAACAUUCAAUGAGACAUGAUUGCACGGACAUAGAACUAGAUAUAAGACAAGAGUUAAAGAAAAAUAAAGGAACUAAAUUUUCUUCUGCACACUCAGCAUGAAUGGAGUUGUAGUAUCUGAGAUCAAAAUUUAAUUUAUUCCAAGAUGCAGAACAAAAACGUGAUACUCGUAAUGGUUACAUAGGAACAAAAGUAGAUAAGAAAAAUAGCAAAAAGAUAGUGGUCUACCAGAGAGGGCACAUGUGCCUCAAUUGGCCUAUAGCAUAGCGACUCAUUAUCCUUCCACCGCUGGUGGCAGGCGGUACUCGCUGCUCUGUGAAGCCAGCCUCACGCAAUGUCCGCCACUUUAGGUGUUGGGAUGCAAAGGCUUUCGCCAAGGCAUCCGAAACCCACUACGCAACUUGGAAUGGGUGGUCCACAGUUUGUAGCACUAGACCCAGGCACAUGCACCACAAUUGACAUCCACACUACCUUAUUGCCCCCGCUCGGGUUACAAGCAAUCGCUACUUGCUCAGCGAGUGAGGGGGUUCAAGACUACCUAUUUAAGGUGGUGUUGUACUCUAUAAGCCGGCGGUGUGGUAUUUACCAACUACAAAUAGUGUCAUGCAUGUGACUUGCUAGUUGACAAUGUCUGUUGUCGAGCUAGAUGUGGGCUAUGGAUGAAACACAUUACGAUAUAGUAGGCCUAUUUUGUUUUUUGUUGUUUUUGGGCCACUAUGGACUUUAUGUUGAUGUUGUGAAAUUUUUUCUUGUGUUUCCUCUUCCUAUGAUGUGGAAAGUGGGUGGGUUAGAGAAGAAAGAAAGAGUGGCUAGCAUUGAUUUUACGUCAUACAAUUGAGAACACUAAUCAGAAGCAGAAGCAACAAUAUUUCAUACAUAUACAACACUUGUAAUCCAUAUAAACAACUUUCCUUUAAAAUAUAAUAUAAACCACAUGAUUUAUAUCCUGGGUCGGCUAUCUCCACAAAGGGCAAGAAAACGCUCCAAGUUUGUAGUAUAGAACUAAAAGUGUCGAUUCUCACGAUUUCUUCCCGACAUAUACAAACUAGACAGUAAUCACAUAAAAUAAAGAAAUAUGUGUUAACACGAACUUAUAGCAUGUAUUUCAACAUAUAGAUUGCUGAUUAUUAUGGUUGAUUAUAUAAAAUAGGGGUUCCCGAAGAAAUACAUAAAAACAAGAGCAUUAAAAUUUCCUUUUCAGAUCUGGCUAUCUGGUAAAAGGAGUUGGAGUAACUGAGUUUCCAAAUUUGUGACGUAGCUCUAUAGAAGGAAUAUAAAUACGUUGGAAAAAUUCUACAAGGAAAGGUUUAAUACAAGUAGGGCUAAGAAAAACUCAAUGAGGCUUUGGUCGCAUGGUCACAAAACUUGAGACAAGAAACACGAAGACACCAAGGUAAUUAGUAUGAGAGUUUUCCAAAUUUGGUGUCUUGAUGUAGAAAAAAUAAAUAUAUGACAAACUUGUUUUUUCGCAAGGCAUGGAUAAAUAAGUGGGGGUGAGCAAUAAAUUUCAUCCUAGAUUUAGAAGGAAUAAAUAUAUCACUAAAUACGUUUUUUACAAUGCCAAGUUAAUUAGGUGGGAGCGAGAAACAAUUCUAGCGAGGCUAGGUUGUACUAGCCCAAAACUACAUACAACAGAGGAAGAAUGAAGAAAAUGAUGGUCUACCAAAUAUGGCACAUGAGCCUUAAGGUGCACCUAGAGGGAAGUAGAAGAAUAAAUAUAUAAUAGCAUAUGUUUUUCGCAAUGCAAGGUAAAGUGUAGAUGUGCUCUAACUGGGCUUAGAUUGCAGCGACACAUUAUGCAUCUACAAGGCUUCGUUGCACAUGGAAAAAGAUAGAGAGAGAAAUGUAGACGCAGGACCGGGAGAAAAACAUUCAAUGAGACGUGAUUGCACGGACAUAGAACUAAGUAUAAGACAAGAGUUAAAGAAAAAAGGAACUAAAUUUUCUUGUGCACACUAAGCAUGAAUGGAGUUGUAGUAUCUGAGAUCAAAAUUUAAUUUAUUCCAAGAUGCAGAACAAAAACGUGAUACUCGUAAUGGUUACAUAGGAACAAAAGUAGAUAAGAAAAAUAGCAAAAAGAUAUUGGUCUACCAGAGAGGGCACAUGUGCCUCAAUUGGCCUAUAGCAUAGUGGCUCAUUAUCCUUCCACCGCUGGUGGCGGGCGGUACUCGCUGCUCUGUGAAGCCAGCCUCACGCAAUGUCCGCCACUUUAGGUGUUGGGAUGCAAAGGCUUUCGCCAAGGCAUCCGAAACCCACUACACAACUUGGAAUGGGUGGUCCACAGUUUGUAGCAAUAGACCCAGGCACAUGCACCACAAUUGACAUUCACACUACCUUAUUGCCCCCGCUCGGGUUACAAGCAAUCGCUACUUGCUCAGCGAGUGAGGGGGUUCAAGACUACCUAUUUAAGGUGGUGUUGUACUGUAUGAGCCGGCGGUGUGGUAUUUACCAACUACAAAUAGUGUCAUGCAUGUGACUUGCUAGUUGACAAUGUCUAUUGUCGAGCUAGAUGUGGGCUAUAGAUGAAGCACAUUAGGAUAUAGUAGGCCUAUUUUGUUUUUUGUUGUUUUUGGGCCACUAUGGACUUUAUGUUGAUGUUGUGAAAUUUUUUCUUGUGUUUCCUCUUCCUACGAUGUGGAAAGUGGGUGCUUCAGAGAAGAAAGAAAGAGUGGCUAGCAUUGAUUUUACGUCAUACCAUUGAGAACACUAAUCAGAAGCAGAAGCAACAAUAUUUCAUACAUAUACAACACUUGUAAUCCAUAUAAACAACUUUCCUUUCAAAUAUAAUAUAAACCACAUGAUUUAUAUCCUGGGUCGGCUAUCUCCACAAAGGGCAAGAAAACGCUCCAAGUUUGUAGUAUAGCACUAAAAGUGUCGACUCUCACGAUUUCUUCCCGACAUAUGCAAACUAGACAGUAAUCACAUAAAAUAAAGAAAUAUGUGUUAACACAAACUUAUAGCAUGUAUUUCAACAUAUAGAUUUUUGAUUAUUAUGGUAGAUUAUAUAAUAUAGGGGUUCCCGAAAAAAUACAUAAAAAACAAGAGCAUUAAAAUUUCCUUUUCAGAUCUGGCUAACUGGUAAAGGGAGUUGGAGUAUCUGAGUUUCCAAAUUUGGGACGUCGCUCUAUAGAAGGAAUAUAAAUACAUUGGAAAAAAUUCUACAAGGAAAGGUUUAAUACAAGUAGCGCUAAGAAAAACUCAAUGAGGCUUUGGUCGCUUGGUCACAAAACUUGAGACAAGAAACACGAAGACACCAAGGUAAUUAGUAUGAGAGUUUUCCAAAUUUGGUGUCUUGAUGUAGAAAAAAUAAAUAUAUGACAAACUUGUUUUUUCGCAAGGCAUGGAUAAAUAAGUGGGGGUGAGCAAUAAAUUUCAUCCUAGAUUUAGAAGGAAUAAAUAUAUCACUAAAUACGUUUUUUCACAAUGCCAAGUUAAUCAGGUGGGAGCGAGAAACAAUUCUAGCGAGGCUAGGUUGUACUAGCCCAAAACUACAUACAACAGAGGAAAAAUAAAGAAAAUGAUGGUCUACCAAAUAGGGCGCAUGAGCCUUAAGGUGCACCUAGAGGGAAGUAGAAGAAAUAAAUAUAUAAUAGCAUAUGUUUUUCGCAAUGCAAGGUAAAGUGUAGAUGUGCUCUAACUGGGCUUAGAUUGCAGCGACACAUUAUGCAUCUACAAGGCUUGGUUGCACAUGGAAAAAGAUAGAGAGAGAAAUGUAGACGCAGGACCGGGAGAAAAACAUUCAAUGAGACGUGAUUGCACGGACAUAGAACUAGAUAUAAGACAAGAGUUAAAGAAAAAUAAAGGAACUAAAUUUUCUUCUGCACACUAAGCAUGAAUGGAGUUGUAGUAUCUGAGAUCAAAAUUUAAUUUAUUCCAAGAUGCAGAACAAAAACGUGAUACUCGUAAUGGUUACAUAGGAACAAAAGUAGAUAAGAAAAAUAGCAAAAAGAUAGUGGUCUACCAGAGAGGGCACAUGUGCCUCAAUUGGCCUAUAGCAUAGCGACUCAUUAUCCUUCCACCGCUGGUGGCGGGCGGUACUCGCUGCUCUGUGAAGCCAGCCUCACGCAAUGUCCGCCACUUUAGGUGUUGGGAUGCAAAGGCUUUCGCCAAGGCAUCCGAAACCCACUACACAACUUGGAAUGGGUGGUCCACAGUUUGUAGCACUAGACCCAGGCACAUGCACCACAAUUGACAUCCACACUACCUUAUUGCCCCCGCUCGGGUUACAAGCAAUCGCUACUUGCUCAGCGAGUGAGGGGGUUCAAGACUACCUAUUUAAGGUGGUGUUGUACUCUAUGAGCCGGCGGUGUGGUAUUUACCAACUACAAAUAGUGUCAUGCAUGUGACUUGCUAGUUGACAAUGUCUGUUGUCAAGCUAGGUGUGGGCUAUGGAUGAAGCACAUUAGGAUAUAGUAGGCCUAUUUUGUUUUUUGUUGUUUUUGGGCCACUAUGGACUGUAUGUUGAUGUUGUGAAAUUUUUUUCUUGUGUUUCCUCUUCCUACGAUGUGGAAAGUGGGUGCGUCAGAGAAGAAAGAAAGAGUGGCUAGCAUUGAUUUUACGUCAUACCAUUGAGAACACUAAUCAGAAGCAGAAGCAACAAUAUUUCAUACAUAUACAACACUUGUAAUCCAUAUAAACAACAUUCCUUUAAAAUAUAAUAUAAACCACAUGAUUUAUAUCCUGGGUCGGCUAUCUCCACAAAGGGCAAGAAAACGCUCCAAGUUUGUAGUAUAGCACUAAAAGUGUCGAUUCUCACGAUUUCUUCCCGACAUAUACAAACUAGACAGUAAUCACAUAAAAUAAAGAAAUAUGUGUUAACACGAACUUAUAACAUGUAUUUCAACAUAUAGAUUGUUGAUUAUUAUGGUAGAUUAUAUAAAAUAGGGGUUCCCGAAGAAAUACAUAAAAACAAGAGCAUUAAAAUUUCCUUUUCAGAUCUGGCUAUCUGGUAAAAGGAGUUGGAGUAACUGAGUUUCCAAAUUUGUGACGUAGCUCUAUAGAAGGAAUAUAAAUACGUUGGAAAAAUUCUAUAAGGAAAGGUUUAAUACAAGUAGGGCUAAGAAAAACUCAAUGAGGCUUUGGUCGCAUGGUCACAAAACUUGAGACAAGAAACACGAAGACACCAAGGUAAUUAGUAUGAGAGUUUUCCAAAUUUGGUGUCUUGAUGUAGAAAAAAUAAAUAUAUGACAAACUUGUUUUUUCGCAAGGCAUGGAUAAAUAAGUGGGGGUGAGCAAUAAAUUUCAUCCUAGAUUUAGAAGGAAUAAAUAUAUCACUAAAUAUGUUUUUUCACAAUGCCAAGUUAAUCAGGUGGGAGCGAGAAACAAUUCUAGCGAGGCUAGGUUGUACUAGCCCAAAACUACAUACAACAGAGGAAAAAUGAAGAAAAUGAUGGUCUACCAAAUAUGGCGCAUGAGCCUUAAGGUGCACCUAGAGGGAAGUAGAAGAAAUAAAUAUAUAAUAGCAUAUGUUUUUCGCAAUGCAAGGUAAAGUGUAGAUGUGCUCUAACUGGGCUUAGAUUGCAGCGACACAUUAUGCAUCUACAAGGCUUGGUUGCACAUGGAAAAAGAUAGAGAGAGAAAUGUAGACGCAGGACCGGGAGAAAAACAUUCAACGAGACGUGAUUGCACGGACAUAGAACUAGAUAUAAGACAAGAGUUAAAGAAAAAUAAAGGAACUAAAUUUUCUUCUGCACACUAAGCAUGAAUGGAGUUGUAGUAUCUGAGAUCAAAAUUUAAUUUAUUCCAAGAUGCAGAACAAAAACGUGAUACUCGUAAUGGUUACAUAGGAACAUAAGUAGAUAAGAAAAAUAGCAAAAAGAUAGUGGUCUACCAGAGAGGGCACAUGUGCCUCAAUUGGCCUAUAGCAUAGCGACUCAUUAUCCUUCCACCGCUGGUGGCGGGCGGUACUCGCUGCUCUGUGAAGCCAGCCUCACGCAAUGUCUGCCACUUUAGGUGUUGGGAUGCAAAGGCUUUCGCCAAGGCAUCCGAAACCCACUACACAACUUGGAAUGGGUGGUCCACAGUUGGUAGCACUAGACCCAGGCACAUGCACCACAAUUGACAUCCACACUACCUUAUUGCCCCCGCUCGGGUUACAAGCAAUCGCUACUUGCUCAGCGAGUGAGGGGGUUCAAGACUACCUAUUUAAGGUGGUGUUGUACUCUAUGAGCCGGUGGUGUGGUAUUUACCAACUACAAAUAGUGUCAUGCAUGUGACUUGCUAGUUGACAAUGUCUGUUGUCAAGCUAGGUGUGGGCUAUGGAUGAAGCACAUUAGGAUAUAGUAGGCCUAUUUUGUUUUUUGUUGUUUUUGGGCCACUAUGGACUUUAUGUUGAUGUUGUGAAUUUUUUUUCUUGUGUUUCCUCUUCCUACAAUGUGGAAAGUGGGUGCGUCAGAGAAGAAAGAAAGAGUGGCUAGCAUUGAUUUUACGUCAUACCAUUGAGAACACUAAUCAGAAGCAGAAGCAACAAUAUUUCAUACAUAUACAACACUUGUAAUCCAUAUAAACAACAUUCCUUUAAAAUAUAAUAUAAACCACAUGAUUUAUAUCCUGGGUCGGCUAUCUCCACAAAGGGCAAGAAAACGCUCCAAGUUUGUAGUAUAGCACUAAAAGUGUCGAUUCUCACGAUUUCUUCCCGACAUAUACAAACUAGACAGUAAUCACAUAAAAUAAAGAAAUAUGUGUUAACACGAACUUAUAGCAUGUAUUUCAACAUAUAGAUUGUUGAUUAUUAUGGUAGAUUAUAUAAAAUAGGGGUUCCCGAAGAAAUACAUAAAAACAAGAGCAUUAAAAUUUCCUUUUCAGAUCUGGCUAUCUGGUAAAAGGAGUUGGAGUAACUGAGUUUCCAAAUUUGUGACGUAGCUCUAUAGAAGGAAUAUAAAUACGUUGGAAAAAUUCUAUAAGGAAAGGUUUAAUACAAGUAGGGCUAAGAAAAACUCAAUGAGGCUUUGGUCGCAUGGUCACAAAACUUGAGACAAGAAACACGAAGACACCAAGGUAAUUAGUAUGAGAGUUUUCCAAAUUUGGUGUCUUGAUGUAGAAAAAAUAAAUAUAUGACAAACUUGUUUUUCGCAAGGCAUGGAUAAAUAAGUGGGGGUGAGCAAUAAAUUUCAUCCUAGAUUUAGAAGGAAUAAAUAUAUCACUUAAUAUGUUUUUUCACAAUGCCAAGUUAAUCAGGUGGGAGCGAGAAACAAUUCUAGCGAGGCUAGGUUGUACUAGCCCAAAACUACAUACAACAGAGGAAAAAUGAAGAAAAUGAUGGUCUACCAAAUAUGGUGCAUGAGCCUUAAGGUGCACCUAGAGGGAAGUAGAAGAAAUAAAUAUAUAAUAGCAUAUGUUUUUCGCAAUGCAAGGUAAAGUGUAGAUGUGCUCUAACUGGGCUUAGAUUGCAGCGACACAUUAUGCAUCUACAAGGCUUGGUUGCACAUGGAAAAAGAUAGAGAGAGAAAUGUAGACGCAAGACCGGGAGAAAAACAUUCAAUGAGACGUGAUUGCACGGACAUAGAACUAGAUAAAAGACAAGAGUUAAAGAAAAAUAAAGGAACUAAAUUUUCUUCUGCACACUAAGCAUGAAUGGAGUUGUAGUAUCUGAGAUCAAAAUUUAAUUUAUUCCAAGAUGCAGAACAAAAACGUGAUACUCGUAAUGGUUACAUAGGAACAUAAGUAGAUAAGAAAAAUAGCAAAAAGAUAGUGGUCUACCAGAGAGGGCACAUGUGCCUCAAUUGGCCUAUAGCAUAGCGACUCAUUAUCCUUCCACCGCUGGUGGCGGGCGGUACUCGCUGCUCUGUGAAGCCAGCCUCACGCAAUGUCCGCCACUUUAGGUGUUGGGAUGCAAAGGCUUUUGCCAAGGCAUCCGAAACCCACUACACAACUUGGAAUGGGUGGUCCACAGUUUGUAGCACUAGACCCAGGCACAUGCACCACAAUUGACAUCCACACUACCUUAUUGCCCCCGCUCGGGUUACAAGCAAUCGCUACUUGCUCAACGAGUGAGGGGGUUCAAGACUACCUAUUUAAGGUGGUGUUGUACUCUAUGAGCCGGCGGUGUGGUAUUUACCAACUACAAAUAGUGUCAUGCAUGUGACUUGCUAGUUGACAAUGUCUGUUGUCAAGCUAGGUGUGGGCUAUGGAUGAAGCACAUUAGGAUAUAGUAGGCCUAUUUUGUUUUUUGUUGUUUUUGGGCCACUAUGGACUUUAUGUUGAUGUUGUGAAUUUUUUUUCUUGUGUUUCCUCUUCCUACGAUGUGGAAAGUGGGUGCGUCAGAGAAGAAAGAAAGAGUGGCUAGCAUUGAUUUUACGUCAUACCAUUGAGAACACUAAUCAGAAGCAGAAGCAACAAUAUUUCAUACAUAUACAACACUUGUAAUCCAUAUAAACAACAUUCCUUUAAAAUAUAAUAUAAACCACAUGAUUUAUAUCCUGGGUCAGCUAUCUCCACAAAGGGCAAGAAAACGCUCCAAGUUUGUAGUAUAGCACUAAAAGUGUCGAUUCUCACGAUUUCUUCCCGACAUAUACAAACUAGACAGUAAUCACAUAAAAUAAAGAAAUAUGUGUUAACACGAACUUAUAGCAUGUAUUUCAACAUAUAGAUUGUUGAUUAUUAUGGUAGAUUAUAUAAAAUAGGGGUUCCCGAAGAAAUACAUAAAAACAAGAGCAUUAAAAUUUCCUUUUCAGAUCUGGCUAACUGGUAAAGGGAGUUGGAGUAUCUGAGUUUCCAAAUUUGGGACGUCGCUCUAUAGAAGGAAUAUAAAUACAUUGGAAAAAAUUCUACAAGGAAAGGUUUAAUACAAGUAGCGCUAAGAAAAACUCAAUGAGGCUUUGGUCGCUUGGUCACAAAACUUGAGACAAGAAACACGAAGACACCAAGGUAAUUAGUAUGAGAGUUUUCCAAAUUUGGUGUCUUGAUGUAGAAAAAAUAAAUAUAUGACAAACUUGUUUUUUCGUAAGGCAUGGAUAAAUAAGUGGGGGUGAGCAAUAAAUUUCAUCCUAGAUUUAGAAGGAAUAAAUAUAUCACUAAAUAGGUUUUUUCACAAUGCCAAGUUAAUCAGGUGGGAGCGAGAAACAAUUCUAGCGAGGCUAGGUUGUACUAGCCCAAAACUACAUACAACAGAGGAAAAAUGAAGAAAAUGAUGGUCUACCAAAUAUGGCGCAUGAGCCUUAAGGUGCACCUAGAGGGAAGUAGAAGAAAUAAAUAUAUAAUGGCAUAUGUUUAUCGCAAUGCAAGGUAAAGUGUAGAUGUGCUCUAACUGGGCUUAGAUUGCAGCGACACAUUAUGCAUCUACAAGGCUUGGUUGCACAUGGAAAAAGAUAGAGAGAGAAAUGUAGAUGCAGGACCGGGUGAAAAACAUUCAAUGAGACGUGAUUGCACGGACAUAGAACUAGAUAUAAGACAAGAGUUAAAGAAAAAUAAAGGAACUAAAUUUUCUUCUGCACACUAAGCAUGAAUGGAGUUGUAGUAUCUGAGAUCAAAAUUUAAUUUAUUCCAAGAUGCAGAACAAAAAUGUGAUACUCGUAAUGGUUACAUAGGAGCAAAAGUAGAUAAGAAAAAUAGCAAAAAGAUAGUGGUCUACCAGAGAGGGCACAUGUGCCUCAAUUGUCUUAUAGCAUAGCGACUCAUUAUCCUUCCACCGCUGGUGGCGGGCGGUACUCGCUGCUCUGUGAAGCCAGCCUCACGCAAUGUCCGCCACUUUAGGUGUUGGGAUGCAAAGACUUUCGCCAAGGCAUCCGAAACCCACUACACAACUUGGAAUGGGUGGUCCACUGUUUGUAGCACUAGACCCAGGCACAUGCACCACAAUUGACAUCCACACUACCUUAUUGCCCCGCUCGGGUUACAAGCAAUCGCUACUUGCUCAGCGAGUGAGGGGGUUCAAGACUACCUAUUUAAGGUGGUGUUGUACUCUAUGAGCCGGCGGUGUGGUAUUUACCAACUACAAAUAGUGUCAUGCAUGUGACUUGCUAGUUGACAAUGUCUGUUGUCAAGCUAGGUGUGGGCUAUGGAUGAAGCACAUUAGGAUAUAGUAGGCCUAUUUUGUUUUUUGUUGUUUUUGGGCCACUAUGGACUUUAUGUUGAUGUUGUGAAAUUUUUUUCUUGUGUUUCCUCUUCCUACGAUGUGGAAAGUGGGUGCGUCAGAGAAGAAAGAAAGAGUGGCUAGCAUUGAUUUUACGUCAUACCAUUGAGAACACUAAUCAGAAGCAGAAGCAACAAUAUUUCAUACAUAUACAACACUUGUAAUCCAUAUAAACAACAUUCCUUUAAAAUAUAAUAUAAACCACAUGAUUUAUAUCCUGGGUCGGCUAUCUCCACAAAGGGCAAGAAAACGCUCCAAGUUUGUAGUAUAGCACUAAAAGUGUCGAUUCUCACGAUUUCUUCCCGACAUAUACAAACUAGACAGUAAUCACAUAAAAUAAAGAAAUAUGUGUUAACACGAACUUAUAGCAUGUAUUUCAACAUAUAGAUUUUUGAUUAUUAUGGUAGAUUAUAUAAAAUAGGGGUUCCCGAAGAAAUACAUAAAAACAAGAGCAUUAAAAUUUCCUUUUCAGAUCUGGCUAUCUGGUAAAAGGAGUUGGAGUAACUGAGUUUCCAAAUUUGUGACGUAGCUCUAUAGAAGGAAUAUAAAUACGUUGGAAAAAUUCUAUAAGGAAAGGUUUAAUACAAGUAGGGCUAAGAAAAACUCAAUGAGGCUUUGGUCGCAUGGUCACAAAACUUGAGACAAGAAACACGAAGACACCAAGGUAAUUAGUAUGAGAGUUUUCCAAAUUUGGUGUCUUGAUGUAGAAAAAAUAAAUAUAUGACAAAUUUGUUUUUUCGCAAGGCAUGGAUAAAUAAGUGGGGGUGAGCAAUAAAUUUCAUCCUAGAUUUAGAAGGAAUAAAUAUAUCACUAAAUACAUUUUUUCACAAUGCCAAAUUAAUCAGGUGGGAGCGAGAAACAAUUGUAGCGAGGCUAGGUUGUACUAGCCCAAAACUACAUACAACAGAGGAAAAAUGAAGAAAAUGAUGGUCUACCAAAUAUGGCGCAUGAGCCUUAAGGUGCACCUAGAGGGAAGUAGAAGAAAUAAAUAUAUAAUAGCAUAUGUUUUUCGCAAUGCAUGGUAAAGUGUAGAUGUGCUCUAACUGGGCUUAGAUUGCAGCGACACAUUAUGCAUCUACAAGGCUUGGUUGCACAUGGAAAAAGAUACAAAAAGAAAUGUAGACGCAGGACCGGGAGAAAAACAUUCAAUGAGACGUGAUUGCACGGACAUAGAACUAGAUAUAAGACAAGAGUUAAAGAAAAAUAAAGGAACUAAAUUUUCUUCUGCACACUAAGCAUGAAUGGAGUUGUAGUAUCUGAGAUCAAAAUUUAAUUUAUUCCAAGAUGCAGAACAAAAAUUUGAUACUCGUAAUGGUUACAUAGGAGCAAAAGUAGAUAAGAAAAAUAGCAAAAAGAUAGUGGUCUACCAGAGAGGGCACAUGUGCCUCAAUUGGCCUAUAGCAUAGCGACUCAUUAUCCUUCCACCGCUGGUGGCGGGCGGUACUCGCUGCUCUGUGAAGCCAGCCUCACACAAUGUCCGCCACUUUAGGUGUUGGGAUGCAAAGGCUUUCGCCAAGGCAUCCGAAACCCACUACACAACUUGGAAUGGGUGGUCCACUGUUUGUAGCACUAGACCCAGGCACAUGCACCACAAUUGACAUCCACACUACCUUAUUGCCCCGCUCGGGUUACAAGCAAUCGCUACUUGCUCAGCGAGUGAGGGGGUUCAAGACUACCUAUUUAAGGUGGUGUUGUACUCUAUGAGCCGGCGGUGUGGUAUUUACCAACUACAAAUAGUGUCAUGCAUGUGACUUGCUAGUUGACAAUGUCUGUUGUCAAGCUAGGUGUGGGCUAUGGAUGAAGCACAUUAGGAUAUAGUAGGCCUAUUUUGUUUUUUGUUGUUUUUGGGCCACUAUGGACUUUAUGUUGAUGUUGUGAAAUUUUUUUCUUGUGUUUCCUCUUCCUACGAUGUGGAAAGUGGGUGCGUCAGAGAAGAAAGAAAGAGUGGCUAGCAUUGAUUUUACGUCAUACCAUUGAGAACACUAAUCAGAAGCAGAAGCAACAAUAUUUCAUACAUAUACAACACUUGUAAUCCAUAUAAACAACAUUCCUUUAAAAUAUAAUAUAAACCACAUGAUUUAUAUCCUGGGUCGGCUAUCUCCACAAAGGGCAAGAAAACGCUCCAAGUUUGUAGUAUAGCACUAAAAGUGUCGAUUCUCACGAUUUCUUCCCGACAUAUACAAACUAGACAGUAAUCACAUAAAAUAAAGAAAUAUGUGUUAACACAAACUUAUAGCAUGUAUUUCAACAUAUAGAUUGUUGAUUAUUAUGGUAGAUUAUAUAAAAUAGGGGUUCCCGAAGAAAUACAUAAAAACAAGAGCAUUAAAAUUUCCUUUUCAGAUCUGGCUAUCUGGUAAAAGGAGUUGGAGUAACUGAGUUUCCAAAUUUGUGACGUAGCUCUAUAGAAGGAAUAUAAAUACGUUGGAAAAAUUCUAUAAGGAAAGGUUUAAUACAAGUAGGGCUAAGAAAAACUCAAUGAGGCUUUGGUCGCAUGGUCACAAAACUUGAGACAAGAAACACGAAGACACCAAGGUAAUUAGUAUGAGAGUUUUCCAAAUUUGGUGUCUUGAUGUAGAAAAAAUAAAUAUAUGACAAAUUUGUUUUUUCGCAAGGCAUGGAUAAAUAGGUGGGGGUGAGCAAUAAAUUUCAUCCUAGAUUUAGAAGGAAUAAAUAUAUCACUAAAUAUGUUUUUUCACAAUGCCAAGUUAAUCAGGUGGGAGCGAGAAACAAUUCUAGCGAGGCUAGGUUGUACUAGCCCAAAACUACAUACAACAGAGGAAAAAUGAAGAAAAUGAUGGUCUACCAAAUAUGGCGCAUGAGCCUUAAGGUGCACCUAGAGGGAAGUAGAAGAAAUAAAUAUAUAAUAGCAUAUAUUUUUCGCAAUGCAUGGUAAAGUGUAGAUGUGCUCUAACUGGGCUUAGAUUGCAGCGACACAUUAUGCAUCUACAAGGCUUGGUUGCACAUGGAAAAAGAUACAGAAAGAAAUGUAGACGCAGGACCGGGAGAAAAACAUUCAAUGAGACGUGAUUGCACAGACAUAGAACUAGAUAUAAGACAAGAGUUAAAGAAAAAUAAAGGAACUAAAUUUUCUUCUGCACACUAAGCAUGAAUGGAGUUGUAGUAUCUGAGAUCAAAAUUUAAUUUAUUCCAAGAUGCAGAACAAAAAUGUGAUACUCGUAAUGGUUACAUAGGAACAAAAGUAGUUAAGAAAAAUAGCAAAAAGAUAGUGGUCUACCAGAGAGGGCACAUGUGCCUCAAUUGGCCUAUAGCAUAGCGACUCAUUAUCCUUCCACCGCUGGUGGCGGGCGGUACUCGCUGCUCUGUGAAGCCAGCCUCACGCAAUGUCCGCCACUUUAGGUGUUGGGAUGCAAAGGCUUUCGCCAAGGCAUCCGAAACCCACUACACAACUUGGAAUGGGUGGUCCACAGUUUGUAGCACUAGACCCAGGCACAUGCACCACAAUUGACAUCCACACUACCUUAUUGCCCCCGCUCGGGUUACAAGCAAUCGCUACUUGCUCAGCGAGUGAGGGGGGGUCAAGACUACCUAUUUAAGGUGGUGUUGUACUCUAUGAGCAGGCGGUCUGGUAUUUACCAACUACAAAUAGUGUCAUGCAUGUGACUUGCUAGUUGACAAUGUCUGUUGUCGAGUUAGAUGUGGGCUAUGGAUGAAGCACAUUAGGAUAUAGUAGGCCUAUUUUGUUUUUUGUUGUUUUUGGGCCACUAUGGACUUUCUGUUGAUGUUGUGAAAUUUUUUCUUGUGUUUCCUCUUCCUACGAUGUGGAAAGUGGGUGCGUCAGAGAAGAAAGAAAGAGUGGCUAGCAUUGAUUUUACGUCAUACCAUUGAGAACACUAAUUAGAAGCAGAAGCAACAAUAUUUCAUACAUAUACAACACUUGUAAUCCAUAUAAACAACUUUCCUUUAAAAUAUAAUAUAAACCACAUGAUUUAUAUCCUGGGUCGGCUAUCUCUACAAAGGGCGAGAAAACGCUCCAAGUUUGUAGUAUAGAACUAAAAGUGUCGAUUCUCAUGAUUUUUCCGACAUAUACAAACUAGACAGUAAUCACAUAAAAUAAAGAAAUAUGUGUUAACACGAACUUAUAGCAUGUAUUUCAACAUACAUAUUGUUGAUUAUUAUGGUAGAUUAUAUAAAAUAGGGGUUCCCGAAGAAAUACAUAAAAACAAGAGCAUUAAAAUUUCCUUUUUAGAUCUGGCUAUCUGGUAAAAGGAGUUGGAGUAACUGAGUUUCCAAAUUUGUGACGUAGCUCUAUAGAAGGAAUAUAAAUACGUUGCAAAAAUUCUACAAGGAAAGGUUAAUACAAGUAGGGCUAAGAAAAACUCAAUUAGGCUUUGGUCGCAUGGUCACAAAACUUGAGACAAGAAACACGAAGACACCAAGGUAAUUAGUAUGAGAGUUUUCGAAAUUUGGUGUCUUGAUGUAGAAAAAAUAAAUAUAUGACAAACUUGUUUUUUCUCAAGGCAUGGAUUGAGAGCACCUAGAGGGGGGGGUGAAUAGGUGAUCCUGUGAAACUUGAAAACUUAAGCCACAAAACUUGGUUAAUCGUUAGCACAAUAAUUGCCAAGUGGCUAAAUAGGAAUCCUCAACAAAAUACAAUAACCAACAAAGAUCAAUCACAGAGAUGACACGGUGGUUAUCCCAUGGUUCGGCCAAGACCAACGCUUGCCUACUCCAUGUUGUGGCGUCCCAACGGACGAGGGUUGCAAUCAACCCCUCUCAAGCGGUCCAAAGACCCACUUGAAUACCACGGUGUUUUGCUUUGCUUAUCUUUAUCCCACUUGCGAGGAAUCUCCACAAAUUGGAGUCUCUCGCCCUUACACUUAAAGUUCACAAAGAAGCACGGAGUAAGGGAGGGAAGCAACACACACAAAUCCACAGCAAAAUGCGCACACACACGGCCAAGAAUCGAGCUCAAAAGACUAUCUCAAAGUUCUCACUAGAACGGAGCUCGAAUCACUGAGAAUGACAAACGAAUGCGCAAAGACUGAGUGUGGAUGAUCAAGAAUGCUCUAAGGUUGCUUGGUUUUUCUCCUCCAUGCGCCUAGGGGUCCCUUUUAUAGCCCCAAGGCGGCUAGGAGCCGUUGAGAACAAAUCUGGAAGGCCAUCCUUGCCUUCUGUCGUCGGGCGCACCGGACAGUCCGGUGCACACCGGACACUGUCCGGUGCCCGAUUUCCUUCCUUAAAUGGCGAAGCCGACCGUUGCAGAUGUGGGAGCCGUUGGCGCACCGGACAUGUCCGGUGCACACCGGACAGUCCGGUGCCCCCUUCCGACCGUUGGCUCGGCCACGUGUCGCGCGCGGAUUCCGUGGCCGACCGUUGGCCCGGCCGACCGUUGGCUCACCGGACAGUCCGGUGCACACCGGACAGUCCGGUGAAUUUUAGGCGUACGUCGCCGGUGAAUUCCCGAGAGCGGCCAGUUCGCUCGAGCCAGCCUGGCGCACCGGACACAGUCCGGUGCACCACCGGACAGUCCGGUGCCCCAGACCGAAACAGCCUCUUGGCUGUACACAGCCAACUCUUCUCUUUCCUUCUUCUUUUUGUUUCUGAUACUUAGACAAGUAUAUUAGUACACAAAACCAAUGUACUAAGACUUAGAAACAUACCUUUGCUCUUGAUUUGCACUUUGUCCAUUCAUGGGCAUAGAUUUACAUUUAAUUACUUGUGUUGGCACUCAAUCACCAAAAUACUUAGAAAUGGCCCAAGGGCACAUUUCCCUUUCAAUCUCCCCCUUUUUGGUGAUUUAUGCCAACACAACAUAAAGCAACUAGAACAAGUGCAAUAUUACUUCAAAUAAAAACUCAAAUUCAUUUUGAUUCAAUUUGGCAUAUAUGGAUCAUCCUUUGCCACCACUUGGUUUGUUUUUGCAAAUCAAACUCAAAAUCCUAUCUCUAAGUCAAAUCCACUUGUAGAGACAUAAAGAGAGGUUUUCCAUAGAAGAUUGAUUCAAGAUUCCAAAAACUCCCCCUUUUUCCCAUAAUCAACACUUCACCCCACAAGAGGCCAACUUUUGAUAAAAGAGACAAUGCAAGAGUAUUGACAAACCAAAAGCUCUAUCCUACUGUUUUCAAAGUUUCUCAAGUGGUAGCUGAUCCAUUUAUUGCUUUGGCCUUUAUUUUCUCCCCCUUUGGCGUCAAGCACCAAAACGGGAUCAAUCUUGGCCCUUUAACCCCAUUGCCUCACCAAAAUCUUCAAUUAAGAGCAAAUAGGCAAUAAGAGUUAAAAGAUGAACUUGGAAAAGUUACUCUUUUCAUCGGAGUGCAGUGGAAGUCUUGCAUGGUCCAAGUCCACCUUUUCCCUUUUAAUUCUCCUUCGAGACUAAAACAAGCAAACUCAAGCAUAUGGUUAGUCUCAAAGGGUCAAGUUGUAACACAUCUCCCCCUAAAACUGUGCAUCACUUUGCAACGGACUUGUGAGGUCCAGGGAGUGUUUGUACAACUUGAGCACCAUACUAAACAACAAAAUGCAAAAAGGAUCAUGAUCAAAAGCAUAAAUACAUGUAUGCUACAAUUCAAUCCAAGUUCCGCGAAUCUACGACAUUUAGCUCACUACGCAGCCUGCAAAAGGUCUUCUCAUCUAGAGGCUUGGUAAAGAUAUCGGCUAGCUGGUUCUCGGUGCUAACAUGAAACACUUCGAUAUCUCCCUUUUGCUGGUGAUCUCUCAAAAAGUGAUGCCGGAUGUCAAUGUGCUUUGUGCGGCUGUGUUCAACAGGAUUUUCCGCCAUGCGGAUAGCACUCUCAUUGUCACAUAGGAGUGGGACUUUGCUCAGAUUGUAGCCAAAGUCCCUGAGGGUUUGCCUCAUCCAAAGUAGUUGCGCGCAACACUGUCCUGCGGCAACAUACUCGGCCUCAGCGGUGGAUAGGGCAACGGAGGUUUGUUUCUUAGAGUUCCACGACACCAGGGACCUUCCUAAGAAUUGGCACGUCCCUGAUGUACUCUUCCUAUCGACCUUACAUCCAGCAUAGUCGGAAUCUGAGUUUCCAACCAAGUCAAAGGUAGACCCCUUUGGAUACCAGAGCCCGAAGCAAGGCGUAGCAACCAAAUAUCUAAGAAUUCGCUUCACCGCCACUAAGUGACACUCCUUAGGAUUGGAUUGAAAUCUAGCACACAUGCAUACGCUAAGCAUAAUAUCCGGUCUACUAGCACAUAAAUAAAGUAAAGACCCUAUCAUUGACCGGUAUGCUUUUUGAUCAACGGACUUACCUCCUUUGUUGAGGUCGGUGUGUCCGUCGGUCCCCAUCGGAGUCUUUGCGGGCUUGGCGUCCUUCAUCCCAAACCGCUUCAGCAGGUCUUGCGUGUACUUUGUUUGGGAGAUGAAGGUGCCGUCCUUGAGUUGCUUCACUUGAAACCCAAGGAAGUAGUUCAACUCGCCCAUCAUCGACAUCUCGAAUUUCUGCAUCAUAACCCUGCUAAACUCUUCACAAGACUUUUGGUUAGUAGAACCAAAUAUUAUGUCAUCGACAUAAAUUUGGCACACAAACAAAUCACCAUCACAUGUCUUAGUAAAAAGAGUUGGAUCGGCUUUCCCAACCUUGAAGGCAUUUGCAAUUAAAAAGUCUUUAAGGCAUUCAUACCAUGCUCUUGGGGCUUGCUUAAGUCCAUAGAGCGCCUUAGAGAGCUUACACACGUGGUCGGGGUACCGUUCAUCCUCGAAGCCAGGGGGUUGCUCUACGUACACCUCCUCCUUGAUUGGCCCGUUGAGGAAAGCGCUCUUCACAUCCAUUUGGAACAACCUGAAAGAAUGGUGAGCGACAUAUGCUAGCAAGAUACGAAUUGAUUCUAGCCUAGCCACAGGAGCAAACGUCUCCUCAAAGUCCAAACCUGCGACUUGGGCAUAACCUUUUGCCACAAGUCGAGCCUUGUUCCUCGUCACCACCCCGUGCUCGUCCUGUUUGUUGCGGAAUACCCACUUGGUUCCCACAACGUUUUGCUUGGGACGAGGCACCAGUGUCCAAACUUCAUUUCGCUUGAAGUUGUUGAGUUCCUCCUGCAUGGCUAACACCCAGUCCGGAUCUAGCAAGGCCUCUUCUACCCUGAAAGGCUCAAUAGAAGAGACAAAGGAGUAAUGCUCACAAAAAUUAACUAAUCGAGAUCGAGUAGUUACUCCCUUGCUAAUAUCACCCAGAAUUUGGUCGACGGGAUGAUCCCUUUGAAUCAUCGCUCGAACUUGGGUUGGAGGUGCCGGUUGUGCUUCUUCCUCCAUCACAUGAUCAUCUUGUGCUCCCCAUUGAUCACACUCCUCUUGAUGAACCUGUUCAUCGUUUUGAGUUGGGGGAUGCAUCAUUGUUGAGGAAGAAGGUUGAUCUUGCUCCAAUUGUUCCUGUGGUCGCACAUCACCAAUCGCCAUGGUGCGCAUAGCGGCCGUUGGAACGUCUUCUUCAUCUAAAUCAUCAAGAUCAACAACUUGCUCUCUUGGAGAGCCAUUAGUCUCAUCAAAUACAACGUCGCUAGAGACUUCAACCAAACCCGAUGAUUUGUUGAAGACUCUAUACGCCUUUGUAUUUGACUCAUAACCUAACAAAAACCCUUCUACAGCUUUGGGAGCAAACUUAGAAUUUCUACCCUUCUUUACUAGAAUGUAGCACUUGCUCCCAAAUACACGAAAGUAAGAUACAUUGGGUUUGUUACCGGUUAGUAGCUCAUACGAAGUCUUCUUGAGGAGGCGAUGAAGGUAGACCCUGUUGAUGGCGUGGCAAGCCAUGUUCACGGCUUCCGACUAGAAACACUCGGGGGUCUUGAAUUCUCCAAGCAUCGUCCUCGCCAUAUCGAUUAGUGUCCUGUUCUUCCUCUCUACCACACCAUUUUGCUGUGGUGUGUAGGGAGCGGAGAACUCGUGCUUGAUCCCUUCCUCCUCAAGGAACUCCUCCACUUGAAGAUUCUUGAAAUCGGACCCGUUGUCGCUCCUUAUCUUCUUCACCUUGAGCUCAAACUCAUUUUGAGCUCUCCUAAGGAAGCGCUUGAGGGUCCCUUGGGUUUCAGACUUAUCCUGCAAAAAGAACACCCAAGUGAAGCGGGAAAAGUCAUCGACAAUAACUAGACCAUACUUACUUCCCCCUAUGCUCAGAUAGGCGACGGGUCCGAAGAGGUCCAUAUGCAGCAGCUCCAGGGGUCUUGAAGUGGUCAUCACAUUCUUGCUGUGAUGCGCUCCUCCCACUUGUUUACCUGCUUGACAAGCUGCACAAGGUCUAUCUUUUUCGAAUUGUACGUUAGUCAAACCUAUCACGUGUUCUCCCUUUAGAAGCUUGUGAAGGUUCUUCAUCCCCACAUGUGCUAAGCGGCGAUGCCACAGCCAGCCCAUGCUAGUCUUAGCAAUUAAGCAUGCAUCUAGACCGGCCUCUUCUUUUGCAAAAUCAACUAAGUAAAGCUUGCCGUCUAAUACACCCUUAAAAGCUAGUGAACCAUCACUUCUUCUAAAGACAGACACAUCUACAUUUGUAAAUAGACAGUUAUAUCCCAUAUUGCAUAAUUGACUAACAGAUAACAAAUUAUAUCCAAGAGACUCUACUAAAAACACAUUAGAGAUAGAGUGCUCAUUAGAAAUUGCAAUUUUACCUAACCCUUUUACCUUGCCUUGAUUCCCAUCACCGAAUAUAAUUGAAUCUUGGGAAUCCUUAUUCUUGACGUAGGAGGUGAACAUCUUCUUCUCCCCCGUCAUAUGGUUUGUGCAUCCGCUGUCGAUAAUCCAGCUUGAACCCCCGGAUGCAUAAACCUGCAAGGCAAAUUUAGGCUUGGGACUUAGGUACCCAACUCUUGUUGGGUCCUACAAGGUUAGUCACAAUUUCCUUAGGGAUCCAAAUGCAAGUUUUAUCACCCUUGCAUUUUGCCCCUAACUUCCUAGCAAUCACCUUUCUAUCCUUUCUACAAAUUGCAAAGGAAGCAUUCAAAGCAUGAUAUAUUGUAGAAGGCUCAUUAACUUUCCUAGGCACAUUAACAACAUUUCUCCUAGGCAUAUUAUGAACAACAUUUCUCCUACCAACGUUCCUAUCAUGCUCAUAGAAAGAACUAGAAGCAACCAUGUCAUGAUAAACAUAUGAAUCAAAAACAUUAUAACUUCUAUUUGCAUUUCUAGUAUGUCUCCUAUCAUGAUACAUAAAAGCAUGGUUCUUUUUAGCACUACCAGCCAUAGGGGCCUUCCCUUUCUCCUUGGCGGAAAUGGGAGCCUUAUGGCUUGUUAAGUUCUUGGCUUCCCUCUUGAAGCCAAGUCCAUCCUUAAUUGAGGGAUGUCUACCAAUCGUAUAGGCAUCCCUUGCAAAUUUUAAUUUAUCAAAUUCGCUUUUGCUAGUCUUAAGUUGGGCAUUAAGACUAGCCACUUCAUCAUUCAAUUUAGAAAUUGAAACUAGGUGUUCACUACAAGCAUCAACAUUAAAAUCUUUACACCUAGUGCAAACCAUAACAUGUUCUACACAAGAGUUAGAUUUACUAGCCACUUCUAGUUUAGCAUUUAAAUCAUUAUUAACACCUUUUAAAGUAGCAAUGGUUUCAUGACAAGAAGAUAAUUCACUAGAAAGCACUUCAUUUCUUUUAACUUCUAAAGCAUAAGAUUUUUGUGCCUCUACAAAUUUGUCAUGCUCUUCAUAUAAAAGAUCCUCUUGUUUUUCUAAGAGUCUAUCCUUUUCAUUCAAGGCAUCAAUCAAUUCAUUAAUCUUUUCUACUUUAGUUCUAUCCAAUCCCUUGAACAAACUAGAGUAAUCUAUUUCUUCAUCACUGGACUCAUCAUCACUAGAAGAAUCAUAAGUGACAUUGUUUUGAUUGCAUACCUUCUUCUCCCUUGCCAUAAGGCAUGUGUGACGCUCGUUGGGGAAGAGGGAUGACUUGUUGAAGGCGGUGGCGGCGAGUCCUUCAUUGUCGGAGUCGGAGGAGAAGCAAUCUGAAUCCCACUCCUUUCCGAUAUGUGCCUCGCCCUUGGCCUUCUUGUAAUGCUUCUUCUUCUCCCUUUUGUUCCCCUUUUCCUGGUCACUUUCAUUAUCGGGACAGUUAGCAAUGAAAUGACCAAUCUUACCGCAUUUGAAGCACGAGCGCUUCUCCUUUGUCUUGGUCUUGCUUGGCUGUCCCUUGCGACCUUUAAGCGCCGUCUUGAAGCGCUUAAUGAUGAGGGCCAUCUCCUCAUUAUUUAGCCCGGCCGCCUCAACUUGCGCCACCUUGCUCGGUAGCGCCUCCUUGCUCCUCGUUGCCUUGAGAGCAAUGGGUUGAGGCUCAUGAAUAGGACCGUUCAACGCGUCGUCCACAUAUCUUGCCUCCUUGAUCAUCAUUCGCCCGCUUACGAACUUCCCCAGAACUUCUUCGGGCGACAUCUUGGUGUACCUAGGAUUUUCACGAAUAUUGUUCACCAAAUGAGGAUCAAGAACGGUAAAGGACCUUAGCAUUAGGCGGACGACGUCGUGAUCCGUCCAUCGCGUGCUUCCGUAGCUCCUUAUUUUGUUGAUAAGGGUCUUGAGCCGGUUGUAUGUUUGAGUUGGCUCCUCGCCCCUUAUCAUUGCGAACCGUCCAAGCUCGCCCUCCACCAACUCCAUCUUGGUGAGUAAGGUGACAUCGUUCCCCUCAUGAGAGAUCUUGAGGGUGUCCCAGAUCUGCUUGGCAUUGUCCAAGCCGCUCACCUUAUGGUACUCGUCCCUGCACAAAGAGGCUAGCAACACAGUAGUAGCUUGUGCAUUUUUAUGAAUCUGUUCAUUAAUAAACAUGGGACUAUCCGUACUAUCAAAGUGCAUUCCACUUUCUACAAUCUCCCAUAUGCUAGGAUGGAGAGAGAACAAGUGACUACGCAUUUUGUGACUCCAAAAUCCGUAGUCCUCUCCAUCAAAAUGAGGAGGUUUACUAAGUGGAAUAGAUAAUAACUGAGCAUUAGUACUUUGAGGAAUACGAGAGUAAUCAAAAGAAAAGUACGAAUUGACCGGUUUCUUUCUCUCGUAUUCGUUGUGGUCGUCGUCCUUUUGGGAGGAAGUAGACUCAUCGCUGUCGUAGUAGACGAUCUCCUUGAUGUGUCUUGUCUUCUUCUUCUUCCCAUCUUUGCGUCUGUGGCCCGAGCCCGAGUCGUUGGACUUGUCAUCCCUUGGCUCGUUGACGAAGGACUCCUUCUCCUUGUCGUUGAUCACGAUUCCCUUCCCUUUAGGAUCCAUCUCUUCGGGCGGUUAGUCCCUUUGUGAAGAGAACGGCUCUGAUACCAAUUGAGAGCACCUAGAGGGGGGGUGAAUAGGUGAUCCUGUGAAACUUGAAAACUUAAGCCACAAAACUUGGUUAAUCGUUAGCACAAUAAUUGCCAAGUGGCUAAAUAGGAAUCCUCAACAAAAUACAAUAACCAACAAAGAUCAAUCACAGAGAUGACACGGUGGUUAUCCCGUGGUUCGGCCAAGACCAACGCUUGCCUACUCCACGUUGUGGCGUCCCAACGGACGAGGGUUGCAAUCAACCCCUCUCAAGCGGUCCAAAGACCCACUUGAAUACCACGGUGUUUUGCUUUGCUUAUCUUUAUCCCACUUGCGAGGAAUCUCCACAAAUUGGAGUCUCUCGCCCUUACACUUAAAGUUCACAAAGAAGCACGGAGUAAGGGAGGGAAGCAACACACACAAAUCCACAGCAAAAUGCGCACACACACGGCCAAGAAUCGAGCUCAAAAGACUAUCUCAAAGUUCUCACUAGAACGGAGCUCGAAUCACUGAGAAUGACAAACGAAUGCGCAAAGACUGAGUGUGGAUGAUCAAGAAUGCUCUAAGGUUGCUUGGUUUUUCUCCUCCAUGCGCCUAGGGGUCCCUUUUAUAGCCCCAAGGCGGCUAGGAGCCGUUGAGAACAAAUCUGGAAGGCCAUCCUUGCCUUCUGUCGUCGGGCGCACCGGACAGUCCGGUGCACACCGGACACUGUCCGGUGCCCGAUUUCCUUCCUUAAAUGGCGAAGCCGACCGUUGCAGAUGUGGGAGCCGUUGGCGCACCGGACAUGUCCGGUGCACACCAGACAGUCCGGUGCCCCCUUCCGACCGUUGGCUCGGCCACGUGUCGCGCGCGGAUUCCGCGGCCGACCGUUGGCCCGGCCGACCGUUGGCUCACCGGACAGUCCGGUGCACACCGGACAGUCCGGUGAAUUUUAGGCGUACGUCGCCGGUGAAUUCCCGAGAGCGGCCAGUUCGCUCGAGCCAGCAUGGCGCACCGGACACUGUCCGAUGCACCACCGGACAGUCCGGUGCCCCAGACCGAAACAGCCUCUUGGCUGUACACAGCCAACUCUUCUCUUUCCUUCUUCUUUCUGUUUCUGAUACUUAGACAAGUAUAUUAGUACACAAAACCAAUGUACUAAGACUUAGAAACAUACCUUUGCUCUUGAUUUGCACUUUGUCCAUUCAUGGGCAUAGAUUUACAUUUAAGCACUUGUGUUGGCACUCAAUCACCAAAAUACUUAGAAAUGGCCCAAGGGCACAUUUCCCUUUCAUGGAUAAAUAAGUGGGGGUGAGCAAUAAAUUUCAUCCUAGAUUUAGAAGGAAUAAAUAUAUCACUAAAUACGUUUUUUUUUACAAUGGCAAGUUAAUCAGGUGGGAGCGAGAAACAAUUCUAGCGAGGCUAGGUUGUACUAGCCCAAAAUUACAUACAACAGAGGAAAAAUGAAGAAAAUGAUGGUCUACCAAAUAUGGCGCAUGAGCCUUAAGGUGCACCUAGAGGGAAGUAGAAGAAUAAAUAUAUAAUAGCAUAUGUUUUUCGCAAUGCAAGGUAAAGUGUAGAUGUGCUCUAACUGGGCUUAGAUUGCAGCGACACAUUAUGCAUCUACAAGGCUUGGUUGCACAUGGAAAAAGAUAGAGAGAGAAAUGUAGACGCAGGACCGGGAGAAAACAUUCAAUGAGACGUGAUUGCACGGACAUAGAACUAGAUAUAAGACAAGAGUUAAAGAAAAAAAGGAACUAAAUUUUCUUGUGCACACUAAGCAUGAAUGGAGUUGUAGUAUCUGAGAUCAAAAUUUAAUUUAUUCCAAGAUGCAGAACAAAAACGUGAUAUUCGUAAUGGUUACAUAGGAACAAAAGUAGAUAAGAAAAAUAGCAAAAAGAUAGUGGUCUACCAGAGAGGGCACAUGUGCCUCAAUUGGCCUAUAGCAUAGUGGCUCAUUAUCCUUCCACCGCUGGUGGCGGGCGGUACUCGCUGCUCUGUGAAGCCAGCCUCACGCAAUGUCCGCCACUUUAGGUGUUGGGAUGCAAAGGCUUUCGCCAAGGCAUCCGAAACCCACUACACAACUUGGAAUGGGUGGUCCACAAUUUGUAGCACUAGACCCAUACACAUGCACCACAAUUGAUAUCCACACUACCUUAUUGCCCCCGCUCGGGUUACAAGCAAUCGCUACU
This 35375-nucleotide long non-coding RNA is filed under the name Zea mays. RNAcentral describes it as "long non-coding RNA (ZMAY_LNC000227)". Lineage: Eukaryota; Viridiplantae; Streptophyta; Magnoliopsida; Poales; Poaceae. The record is from RNAcentral.